RNAcentral lists this ribosomal RNA (253 nucleotides) under uncultured bacterium. RNAcentral's name for it is "partial 16S ribosomal RNA". It matches the Rfam family "Bacterial small subunit ribosomal RNA", at positions 524 to 776 of the family's 1533-position model. The record is from RNAcentral.
UACGAAGGGGGCUAGCGUUGCUCGGAAUCACUGGGCGUAAAGGGUGCGUAGGCGGGUCUUUAAGUCAGGGGUGAAAUCCUGGAGCUCAACUCCAGAACUGCCUUUGAUACUGAGGAUCUUGAGUUCGGGAGAGGUGAGUGGAACUGCGAGUGUAGAGGUGCAAUUCGUAGAUAUUCGCAAGAACACCAGUGGCGAAGGCGGCUCACUGGCCCGAUACUGACGCUGAGGCACGAAAGCGUGGGGAGCAAACAGG